CAAUGUGAGGACAGUCUUGUUGCGACAUCUGUCACCCCAUUGAUCGCCAUGGUUCAUUCAGCUGAUCUGUCUGGUUAGGUGUCUAUCCCCUUCCUCUGUUACCACUCCACAUGCCUUCCUCUAGAAGCUGCAUGCUUGGUUAAAGCGGACAACCUUCCCCAAAUAGAGGAGGACUGGUCUUCAGUCAAGGGUAUACAAGUGGUUGUGCUCCCCUGCUAGAAACAAGCUCUCAAGGUUCAUUUUGAUUUUCAUUUCCCUGAUGACUAAAGUUGUUGAGCACUUCCUCAAAUGUCUUUUGGCUGUUAGAGAUUCUUCUGA
Molecule: unclassified non-coding RNA, 318 nt
Organism: Cricetulus griseus (Chinese hamster)
Lineage: Eukaryota; Metazoa; Chordata; Mammalia; Rodentia; Cricetidae
Gene: 7SK
Rfam family: 7SK RNA
About the family: 7SK was discovered as an abundant small nuclear RNA in the mid-70s but a possible function has only recently been suggested. Two independent studies have found that 7SK RNA binds the CDK9/cyclin T complex (known as elongation factor P-TEFb).
Source: Ensembl